UACGUAGGGACCAAGCGUUGUUCGGAUUUACUGGGCGUAAAGGGCGCGUAGGCGGCAAUUCAAGUCAUCUGUGAAAUCUCCGGGCUUAACUCGGAACGGUCAGAUGAUACUGCUUUGCUCGAGUGCGGAAGGGGCAAUCGGAAUUCUUGGUGUAGCGGUGAAAUGCGUAGAUAUCAAGAGGAACACCUGAGGUGAAGACGGGUUGCUGGGCCAACACUGACGCUGAGGCGCGAAAGCCAGGGGAGCAAACGGG
RNAcentral lists this ribosomal RNA (253 nucleotides) under uncultured bacterium. RNAcentral's name for it is "partial 16S ribosomal RNA". It matches the Rfam family "Bacterial small subunit ribosomal RNA", at positions 524 to 776 of the family's 1533-position model. The record is from RNAcentral.